RNAcentral lists this ribosomal RNA (497 nucleotides) under uncultured bacterium. RNAcentral's name for it is "partial 16S ribosomal RNA". It matches the Rfam family "Bacterial small subunit ribosomal RNA", at positions 28 to 507 of the family's 1533-position model. The record is from RNAcentral.
GAUGAACGCUGGCGGCGUGCCUAAUACAUGCAAGUCGAGCGAACGGACGAGAAGCUUGCUUCUCUGAUGUUAGCGGCGGACGGGUGAGUAACACGUGGAUAACCUACCUAUAAGACUGGGAUAACUUCGGGAAACCGGAGCUAAUACCGGAUAAUAUUUUGAACCGCAUGGUUCAAAAGUGAAAGACGGUCUUGCUGUCUCUUAUAGAUGGUUCCGCGCUGCAUUAGCUAGUUGGUAAGGUAACGGCUUACCAAGGCAACGAUGCAUAGCCGACCUGAGAGGGUGAUCGGCCACACUGGAACUGAGACACGGUCCAGACUCCUACGGGAGGCAGCAGUAGGGAAUCUUCCGCAAUGGGCGAAAGCCUGACGGAGCAACGCCGCGUGAGUGAUGAAGGUCUUCGGAUCGUAAAGCUCUGUUAUUAGGGAAGAACAUAUGUGUAAUUAACUGUGCACAUCUUGACGGUACCUAAUCAGAAAGCCACGGCUAACUACGUG